Molecule: ribosomal RNA, 175 nt
Filed under: uncultured soil bacterium
Lineage: Bacteria
Description: partial 16S ribosomal RNA
Rfam family: Bacterial small subunit ribosomal RNA
Source: RNAcentral
ACUCCUACGGGAGGCAGCAGUGGGGAAUAUUGCGCAAUGGGCGAAAGCCUGACGGAGCAAUACCGCGUGAGGGAAGAAGGCUCUUGGGUUGUAAACCUCUUUUCUUAGGGAAGAAAAAAAUGACGGUACCUAAGGAAUAAGCAUCGGCUAACUCCGUGCCAGCAGCCGCGGUAAU